AUGGACGCCUCCUGGGACCCAGCCUGCUUCCGUCCGCGUCCGCCGCUGCACCGUCGGGGCCGCAUGCCCUUCCCAGAAGCACGUGCUCGCCGCCACCACCGCCACCACCAUUGCCACUCAUGCCUACAGGACAGACAGCUGGACGCCAGGUGGUCAGCUGGGGCUGGGCGGACAGCUGAGGUCAGCCCACGGAUCAAAGGGACAGAGCCACCUGAUAGGUUUCUCUGCGGCCAGUCCUGCUGUCCUGGCCCCAGCAGCCAUGCCACUGACUUUCCCAGGGGCACGGCGCCACGCCAGAAGCGGGCCCUGGGCAGUCUCCGGGCCGAAGGAGGUCAUCUUGAGAUGGACUUUUGUCUGAGGAAAACAAGUCAGAAAACAAUCCUGACUUGGCCACGCGUUCGCCUUGUGCAGUUGCCAGAGCCCAGGAGCUGGCUGUGCCCGUGUGACUGUCGGACCUGCCCCUGGGAGUGGGGACUGUGGGGCACCAGUCUGUGUGCGGCUAGUUGCAGAGGCAGGGGAUGGAGGGGCUCCUGGUGCAGAGCGAGCCUUGUUUCUUGUGAAAUGUAGCAUCGUUGUCAUUAAACCAGUGGUGGGUUCAUGCACUGCUAGGGCUGGCUGUCCAUCUGUCUGGUCCCCAGCUGGGGUGUCCUGAUGUCGCAGACGGGGGCAGGCAGCUUGUCCUGGGUGAGCUGGUUAUGGAGAAGACUCGCAGUGUAUAAGAGGUGCCGGUGACCCCAAAUUCAGGGCCCCUGGGGCCGAGGACGGGGGUAUGGCCCUGCUGCGGGGAAGAGGCACACCCCUGGUUGCCAUCUGGAAGGGGGAGAGUGGGGUGGGAGUGGUGGUCUCUGCACGCAGAAGGCCGGUCACGGUGGGGUAGAGGGAGGGCUGGGGGUGGAGGAGCCGAUGAGGACAGGGGGUUAGGGGUGAGGGGGCCGCACAGCAGCUCUCAGGCAGGGCAGGCGCCGCUCCCACCUCUACCUGACAGGCGGGGAAACUGAGGCCAGUGGGUGACCUUGCUGGCCCAGCAUCUCACACAGGGGAGAUGGGAUGGGGGGGCAGGCAAGAUUUGUUGCUUUGUUGUCAUUCUGUCCUUCCUUGAACAUANNNNNNNNNNNNNNNNNNNNNNNNNNNNNNGGGUGGCAGGGGAGGGGGGUGAGGAUGCCAUGAGGACCGGAGAAGAGGGGGAUUUGGAAGUGGUCGAGGGGAGUAGAGGUCUUGGGGCUGGAGGGGAAAGCCAGCUUAGGCCAGAGGAGUGGUGGUUCCAACAGGACCUGGCAGGUCAGGGGUCCCCAAGGGGGUCUGGAGAAGAGGGGUGAGCCCCCCUACAGUGAGCAGCUGCCCACAGCUGGCCAGCACCCAGGCCCUUCCCUGUAGGUGAAGGAGCCCUGUCCAGGGCAGUGGGGACCGGAGACACCAGGCCACAACGCCUGCCCUUCCGGGCCCCAGUUGUGGCAGACCGUGAGAAGCAUGUGUGGCUGGGACAGGGGGCGGGUGGCAGGAGGCCCUGGGGAAGGGCACCUUUGAACCCAGAGCCCGAGAAGAGCCGUGUGAUCAGGGGCCUGGAGAG
Molecule: long non-coding RNA, 1567 nt
Filed under: Ursus maritimus (polar bear)
Lineage: Eukaryota; Metazoa; Chordata; Mammalia; Carnivora; Ursidae
Description: lncRNA (ENSUMAG00000007351.1)
Source: RNAcentral